Molecule: ribosomal RNA, 486 nt
Filed under: uncultured bacterium
Lineage: Bacteria
Description: partial 16S ribosomal RNA
Rfam family: Bacterial small subunit ribosomal RNA
Source: RNAcentral
AUUGAACGCUGGCGGCAUGCCUUACACAUGCAAGUCGAACGGCAGCACGGGUGCUUGCACCUGGUGGCGAGUGGCGAACGGGUGAGUAAUACAUCGGAACAUGUCCUGUAGUGGUGGAUAGCCCGGCGAAAGCCGGAUUAAUACCGCAUACGAUCUACGGAUGAAAGCGGGGGACCUUCGGGCCUCGCGCUAUAGGGUUGGCCGAUGGCUGAUUAGCUAGUUGGUGGGGUAAAGGCCUACCAAGGCGACGAUCAGUAGCUGGUCUGAGAGGACGACCAGCCACACUGGGACUGAGACACGGCCCAGACUCCUACGGGAGGCAGCAGUGGGGAAUUUUGGACAAUGGGCGAAAGCCUGAUCCAGCAAUGCCGCGUGUGUGAAGAAGGCCUUCGGGUUGUAAAGCACUUUUGUCCGGAAAGAAAUCCUUGGCCCUAAUACGGUCGGGGGAUGACGGUACCGGAAGAAUAAGCACCGGCUAACUACGUG